UAUACCUUAGUAUAGGAUGUAUUAGAGUUUUUGAUACUCUAGGGGCUGGCUUGAUUCCAGCAGGUGUAA
This 69-nucleotide transfer RNA is filed under the name Trachylophus sinensis. Its description in RNAcentral is "tRNA-Gln". The record is from RNAcentral. Lineage: Eukaryota; Metazoa; Arthropoda; Insecta; Coleoptera; Cerambycidae.